AAUCAACGCUGGCGGCGUGCCUCAGACAUGCAAGUCGAACGAUUAAGACUUCCUUCGGGAAGUGCAUAAAGUGGCGCACGGGUGAGUAACACGUAAGUAAUCUACCCUCGAGUGGGGAAUAACGUUCGGAAACGGACGCUAAUACCGCAUAACGCAGCGGCACCGCAAGGUGACAGUUGUUAAAGGAGCAAUCCGCUUGAGGAGGAGCUUGCGGCAGAUUAGCUAGUUGGUAAGGUAAUGGCUUACCAAGGCUACGAUCUGUAUCCGGUCUAAGAGGACGGUCGGACACACUGACACUGAAUAACGGGUCAGACUCCUACGGGAGGCAGCAGUCGGGAAUUUUGGGCAAUGGGCGAAAGCCUGACCCAGCAACGCCGCGUGAAGGAUGAAGUAUUUCGGUAUGUAAACUUCGAAAGAAUAGGAAGAAUAAAUGACGGUACUAUUUAUAAGCUCCGGCUAACUACGUG
RNAcentral lists this ribosomal RNA (467 nucleotides) under uncultured bacterium. RNAcentral describes it as "bacterial SSU rRNA". It matches the Rfam family "Bacterial small subunit ribosomal RNA", at positions 32 to 507 of the family's 1533-position model. The record is from RNAcentral.